UCUUCACCACCCUCUAACGAUUAGUAGUCGGUCACCUCACCAAGAAUAUUUUAAGUCCUUCCAUCCCUCCCACCUCUGCCUUCCUUCGUCGCAUCGUCAACCUGCUUGUAAUGUGCUAGGCAUCAGAGACAUGAUUAUGAUGUGUGUGGCACAUAAGACUCUUGAUUGUUUGAGUAUUGUUUGGAUUUGUGAGGUCCAACGGUUGCACCACCAAAAUCGACGCCUUUAG
RNAcentral lists this long non-coding RNA (229 nucleotides) under Helianthus annuus (common sunflower). Its description in RNAcentral is "sRNA HanXRQr2_Chr01g0028071". The record is from RNAcentral. Lineage: Eukaryota; Viridiplantae; Streptophyta; Magnoliopsida; Asterales; Asteraceae.